Molecule: long non-coding RNA, 803 nt
Organism: Nerophis ophidion (straightnose pipefish)
Lineage: Eukaryota; Metazoa; Chordata; Actinopteri; Syngnathiformes; Syngnathidae
Exons: 2
Source: RefSeq, a predicted model, not a curated record
UCACGUUUUGCAAGGACUGUUUAGGUAUUGCACAGCGUGUUUACAUCACAGAUAAUACACCCCUUGCACUGCAAAACAUUGUUAUUUUUUAAAUACUUUUUUCGCCGACAUAACUCACAAUGGCAGACGCCGCAGAAAGCAGUGGACAGGAGCCAUAGCAAAACGAGGGAAUUAAGAAGCGAAAAAAGUUGUCUGAGGUGUGGGAACACUUCACACUGAAAUCGCAGUAGUAUGCAAACAUUGCAAAGUGGCGCUCUAGUACCACAAUAGCACAGGUGCUGUAGCACUUGUCAAAAAAGCAUCCGAUUGAGGCACGUCCACAGGCGAGAAAAACAGCCCCCAAGCAUGAUGUUUCCACCCCCAUGCUUCAGAGUAGGUAUGGUGUUCUUGGGAUGCAACUCAGUAUUCUUCUUCCUCCAAACAAGAAGAGGUGAGUUUAUAACACAAUGUUCUAUUUUGGUUUCAUCUGACCACAUGACAUUCUCCCAAUCCUCUGCUGUAUCAUCCAUGUAUCCAUUUUGGUAUAAACUCAACUUGUCGUGUUUGGAGGAAGAGGAAUACUGAGUUGCAUCCCAAGAACACCAGACCUACUGUGAAGCAAGAGGGUGAAAUCAUCAUGCUUUGGGGCUGUUUUUCUGCUAAGGGGACAGGACGAUUGAUCCGUGUUAAGGAAAGAAUGAAUGGGGCCAUGUAUCGUGAGAUUUUGAGCCAAAACCUCCUUCCAUAAGUAAGAGCUUUGAAUGGUUGACCAAAUACUUAUUUUCCACCAUAACUUACGAAUAAAUUCUUUAAAAUUCCUACAA